RNAcentral lists this ribosomal RNA (383 nucleotides) under uncultured eukaryote. Its description in RNAcentral is "partial 18S ribosomal RNA". It matches the Rfam family "Eukaryotic small subunit ribosomal RNA", at positions 592 to 976 of the family's 1831-position model. The record is from RNAcentral.
CAAUAGCGUAUAUUAAAGUUGUUGCAGUUAAAAAGCUCGUAGUUGGAUUUCUGGUGGGAGCGAUCGGUCUGGCGCUUAACGCGAGUACUUGCAUCGUCUCCGGCCAUCCUUGGGGAGAGUCUGUCUGGCAUUAAGUUGUCGGGCAGAGGAUCCUCAUCGUUUACUGUGAAAAAAUUAGAGUGUUCAAAGCAGGCUUAUGCCGUUGAAUAUAUUAGCAUGGAAUAAUAAGAUAGGACUUUGGUACUAUUUUGUUGGUUUGCGCACCAAAGUAAUGAUUAAUAGGGACAGUUGGGGGUAUUCGUAUUCCGUUGUCAGAGGUGAAAUUCUUGGAUUUACGGAAGACGAACUACUGCGAAAGCAUUUACCAAGGAUGUUUUCAUUAA